GAUGAACGCUGGCGGCGUGCCUAAUACAUGCAAGUCGAGCGAACGGACGAGAAGCUUGCUUCUCUGAUGUUAGCGGCGGACGGGUGAGUAACACGUGGAUAACCUACCUAUAAGACUGGGAUAACUUCGGGAAACCGUAGCUAAUACCGGAUAAUAUUUUGAACCUCAUUGUUCAAAAGUGAAAGACGGUCUUGCUGUCACUUAUAGAUGGAUCCGCGCUGCAUUAGCUAGUUGGUAAGGUAACGGCUUACCAAGGCAACGAUGCAUAGCCGACCUGAGAGGGUGAUCGGCCACACUGGAACUGAGACACGGUCCAGACUCCUACGGGAGGCAGCAGUAGGGAAUCUUCCGCAAUGGGCGAAAGCCUGACGGAGCAACGCCGCGUGAGUGAUGAAGGUCUUCGGAUCGUAAAACUCUGUUAUUAGGGAAGAACAUAUGUGUAAGUAACUGUGCACAUCUUGACGGUACCUAAUCAGAAAGCCACGGCUAACUACGUG
RNAcentral lists this ribosomal RNA (497 nucleotides) under uncultured bacterium. RNAcentral's name for it is "partial 16S ribosomal RNA". It matches the Rfam family "Bacterial small subunit ribosomal RNA", at positions 28 to 507 of the family's 1533-position model. The record is from RNAcentral.